UACGUAGGUGGCAGGCGUUAUCCGGAAUUAUUGGGCGUAAAGAGCGCGCAGGUGGUUAAUUAAGUCUGAUGUGAAAGCCCACGGCUUAACCGUGGAGGGUCAUUGGAAACUGGUUGACUUGAGUGCAGAAGAGGGAAGUGGAAUUCCAUGUGUAGCGGUGAAAUGCGUAGAGAUAUGGAGGAACACCAGUGGCGAAGGCGGCUUCCUGGUCUGUAACUGACGCUGAGGUUCGAAAGCGUGGGUAGCAAACAGG
RNAcentral lists this ribosomal RNA (253 nucleotides) under uncultured bacterium. Its description in RNAcentral is "partial 16S ribosomal RNA". It matches the Rfam family "Bacterial small subunit ribosomal RNA", at positions 524 to 776 of the family's 1533-position model. The record is from RNAcentral.